This 501-nucleotide ribosomal RNA is filed under the name uncultured bacterium. RNAcentral's name for it is "bacterial SSU rRNA". It matches the Rfam family "Bacterial small subunit ribosomal RNA", at positions 15 to 507 of the family's 1533-position model. The record is from RNAcentral.
GAUCAUGGCUCAGGAUGAACGCUAGCUACAGGCUUAACACAUGCAAGUCGAGGGGAACGAUAGAGAAAGCUUGCUUUUCUAGGCGUCGACCGGCGCACGGGUGAGUAACGCGUAUCCAACCUGCCCAUCACUUGGGGAUAACCUUGCGAAAGAAAGAUUAAUACCCGAUGGCAUAGUUCUUCCGCAUGGUAGAACUAUUAAAGAAUUUCGGUCAUCGAUGGGGAUGCGUUCCAUUAGGUUGUUGGCGGGUAACGGCCCACCAAGCCUUCGAUGGAUAGGGGUUCUGAGAGGAAGGUCCCCCACAUUGGAACUGAGACACGGUCCAAACUCCUACGGGAGGCAGCAGUGAGGAAUAUUGGUCAAUGGACGAGAGUCUGAACCAGCCAAGUAGCGUGAAGGAUGACUGCCCUAUGGGUUGUAAACUUCUUUUAUACGGGAAUAAAGUGAGGCACGUGUGCCUUUUUGUAUGUACCGUAUGAAUAAGGAUCGGCUAACUCCGUG